AGGUAUUGCGGCACUCCCCUCCCCCUGCGGAGAAGGGUGCGGCCUUCUCUCCGCCUCCUCCACUGCAGCUCCCUCAGGAUUGCAGCUCGCGCGGGUUUUUGGAGAACAUGCGCCUCCCACCCACAAGCCAGCAGGACCGACCCCCCACUCCUUCCUCCACCCCCCACCCCCACGGGUCCGAGAGCAGGUAGAGCUAGUCUCGUCCUUCAGGCGGCGGACGCCCAGGGCGGAGCCGCAGUCACCACCACCCAGAAGCCUCGGCCCGGCAGCCCGCCCCCGCCUCCUGCGCGCGCUUCCUGCCACGUUGCGCAGGGGCGAGGGGCCAGACACUGCGGCGCUGGCCUCGGGGAGGGCCGUACCAAAGACCGCCUCCCUGCCGACUCGCGUAGUGGUUUCGCUCAUUUGGGACCCAAGCCAAUAACAAGGGGCCGUUCCCAGGACUUCUGCAGCCAAUCAGAUACCAAAGCCGAGCAGGCGGCGGGUAAACCGACUCCCCCGGAGGGGAGGCCGACAGCGCCCGCCUGUGCAGCUCUCUCCACCCCACCUACCUACCCACCCAGGGGGCAAUGCGAGAGUUCCUGGGAGGCUGCGCACUCCCGAGGCUGUAACUGACAGGAGCUUUACUCCAACCAAAACACGCCAUUUGUGUUUUCACACACGGCGGGAGGAGAAGCGGCCAAUCAGUGACAAGAGAAGAGCAGGAAGCGCUCCUCCCUCUGCGGGAGCAAUGGCUCCGUCCGUAUUCCAGGCUUUUCCGCUCCCUUCUCCCUCCCCCUCCGGUUGCCGCAGGGCGGGCCGCACUCCCGCCUGCCUCUCACCACCUCUUCCCCUUCCAGCGUAACAAACGAUAUGCUCCCGACUUCCCGCUAGGGAAGGCGACCCCCGCUACCGGUCAGACCACCUCAAGCACCCAUCCCCCGCCAAACCGCCGGCCCUCCCCCAAACCAGAGUCCCGCUCCCCUACCUAGCCGAGGCUCUCUGAGGAGCCGGAGCCCCAGAGCACAGCCUCUUCUCUAGGCGGCCCCGGCGGCUUCCGCUGAUUGGCGGGGAGCUGGCCAAUGGGU
Molecule: long non-coding RNA, 1064 nt
Filed under: Sus scrofa (pig)
Lineage: Eukaryota; Metazoa; Chordata; Mammalia; Artiodactyla; Suidae
Description: lncRNA (ENSSSCG00025072564.1)
Source: RNAcentral